GAGUUAGCGAAAUUCCAAUGUGUGCGGAUCGGCAAAAAAUGCGAAAUAACCCUUUAACCGUAAUUUUGACAGAUACGGCCGCACUGACUUUUUUGUAGAUCUUAUUGAGAUACAUAUGUGUGUCAAUUUUUGUGUCAAUAUGACAAAGCGUACAGGCGUGACAGUCAAUAGUGUGAAUUUCCACCUUAGGGGGCGCUAUGGAGCCAUUUUGCAUUUUAAUGUUUGGGCGACUUCAGAAUAUCAAAUUUUUCACCAGGCCCGGUCGUCCUGCCAAAUUUCAUGAGUUUUCGCCAGUGGGAAGUGGGCCAUUUUCCAGUUCAAAGGGGAGGAAAAAGAAGAAAGAAAGAAAGAAAGAAAGAAACAAAGAAAAACCACUUGGGGAAUAAUAGGGCCUACGCCCGGCUGCUCUGCAGCUGGCUCGGGCCCUAACUAGGACCCCGUUGGGGCACUGGCGGGCCCGAGCUGUGUCGCGUCCCCCCCCCAACGCGCUGCCUCCCCGUCCCAUUCGCGUCCUCUGGCCGUCGCCCUCUCUGGUAACGCCCAUCACUGCAAAGACCCUUUUCCUUCAUCGGCGUUUGCUGUUCUUCCUGCCAGUGCGUGUUGCUUUCACUUACACUUGCCACAGCCAGCCUCGUGAGUGCCUAGCCUAUUGGAUAUCACUGUCACCUACACAGGACAGUCAUUACCUUUCUAUUAAUACUUUGUUUUUUAAUUUCACAUUAAUUUCCAUAUUGUAUAAACAACUGGAAAAAACUUGAGCCCCUGCCCCUGUAUAAUCAUGUGCACGUCUCUGUUCUAGCUCUAAGGUGAAUCUUCACUGCUCAUGUUCUCCUCAGAAGCAGUCACCUCACUCCCCUCAGGUUACUGUACACAUGCACCAACUGCCUGCUUCAGGUUUGGAUGGAGCUUCAUGGUUGUCUUUUGGAGAAAUGACCAGUCAAGUUGUGUUUGAAAUUUGAUUUUUUUCAGGGGCAAAAGGAGCCUCUGCAUUCUUGUCAAAUAUGUAAAUAGCAUGUUUUUGCAGGUGCUAAAAACCAGACUCUGAGUGUGUGUGUGUGUGCGUGUGUGUGUGUGUCUGUGUGUGUGUGUGUGUGUGUGUGUGUGUGUGUGCGUUCAAGUCACAUGACAUAUUUAACCGGAUGUAGCUGCAAGACGGAGCCUCGUUGACUCUCCGUUUCAAUUUAUCUCAAAAGUGAGGACCUCAACCUAUAUACCAGUUUUUAAAUUGUGUUGAUAGGCCAAAUAAAACCAGAGUUAUGAUAAAUUAUGUCCGCGAUACUUUUUUUCUGCUUAUUUUGAUCACGUUCGGCGCUCGAUCGCGCUGUAUGAGACAGGAAAACAUAGCAUGCAGACAUUAGCGACAGGUCUUACAGGCGGAAAAGGCUUGCCAAAGGAAAAAAAAACACACCACAACAUCUCUCCUAUUGGUGGAAAACUUCACCACAACAACCAAUCCAAAAUUAUAUGGUGACUGAUUGACAAGGGGCGGGAACUUACGUUCUUCCUGCAAUAUGAGAAGGGAGGGAGGGACUCUCAGCAGGGAUGCAGUCUGGGACACGUAGUUGCAAACCUAGCGACUUUGUUGUUAGAUUCAAUGACUUUUCAGACCCCCUAACGACUUUUUUAGAAAGAAAGUGACUUUUAUCGACUUCUUCUGGAGUUUAGAGACUCUGACAUGAAGCAGGCUUUCCUUACUGAGGAGUUAGCAACACUGCUAAGGGUGCAGAGCCACACAUGCGCUCCGAGCUCUGCAUGGGAGACUGAAGCUGACAGAGCUGCAGCAGUUAGCAGGUUUCACCCUCAGAGACCACCAGGAGUUCAUGUUGAGGCAUUUUCAGUUUUUUUUUUUUUUGCCAUAGACACUGUCAGCACAAUCUGCAGUUACACUAACAAAAAUGCUGCAAAAAACAAAGAAUUAUGGAAAAAUUACACAUGGACUAACAUAGAGGAGGAUCUACACAAGUUUUUUACAUCAUGUUUUACAUCAUGCAUCAUUUACAUCAUGUUUUUUUGUAGUGGCAUAAAUAAAAAGUGACAUUUGUGAGACUAUACAGUGUUUUGUAAAUAAUUUUACAAAGAACACCUGGGCCAUUGCCUGCAUUUUGAUGUCAAUAGAGGUAAAUUACUAUGUUCUUUGUUAAAAAUUUGCAUAUGUUUUGAAGUUUACAAUUUUUAUUUGAAGUUUAAGUUUUAAAAACAGUUCAUCACACAUAUUUGUGGUUUUCACAGUAAAAACGUUACUUUUUUCCACUCGGAUUUUAUGUUUUGUGUGUGAAUUUGGGUCCAAUGUGUAAAUAUAGUAUGUCAAAAUGAUAAAAUAACUGUAAAUUGACACAGGUGAGGUUGUGCUGAAAAAAAUGAUACCAGGCAAGGCAAGGUAAAAAUUUUGUCAGAGGAAAUAUAAAGGUAAAAUCUAAAGUAGUCAAAAACGGCCAAUAGUGACUCACAGACUCCACAGACAAGUCCCUUUGGCGCCACUCAGUGGGCAAAACUACUUUGUCUACUGUAAUGUAUAUUUGGGUCAUCUUUGGCGCCCCCUAAAACGUAAACCGUGGGGUGCAGCGUCAUGAUUUUUACAACUUUGAAUGGCCAUGGAGUGUAGAUUGGCCUGAGCAAAUUUGGUGUCAGUGGGACGAAAGCCUUAGGAGGAGUUAGCGAAAUUCCAAUGUGUGCGAAUUGGAAAAAAAUGCAAAAUAGCCCUUUUACCGUACAUUAUACAGAUACGCGCUCUUUGACUUUUUCGUAGAUCUAAUUGAGAUACACAUGAUUGUCAAUUUUUGUGUCAUUUUGCCAAAGCGUACAGGCGUGACAGUCAACAAUGUGUAUUUUCACCUUAGGGGACAAGAAAAAUGGACUUUUUUCUCCUGCCAUGGGGGGGCGCUCUUUUAGGGAGUAAAAAUUCCUUCACAAAUGUGUUGAUGGCUGGACAUUGCAUCAUCCUAGAAAACUUGGAGGCCAGUGAGGACAAAAAUAAAAAGUUAAAAGACUUUUAAAAAUGUGGAUUUUUGGGUUAUCUUUGGCGCCCCCUAGAACUUAAACCGUGGGGUGCAGCGUCAUGAUUUGAAUAACUUUUAAUGGCCAUGGGGUGUAAUUUGGCCUGAGCAAAUGUGGUGCCGGUGGAACGAAAGCCUUCGGAGGAGUUAGCGAAAUUCCAAUGUGUGCGAAUCGGCAAAAAAUGCGGAAUAACCCUUUAACCGUACAUUUGACAGAUACGCGCGCAUUGACUUUUUUGUAGAUCUUAUUGAGUUACAUGUGUGUGUCAAUUUUUGUGUCAUUUUGCCAAAGCGUACAGGCGUAACACUCAACAAUGUGUAUUUUCACCUUAGGGGACAAGAAAAAAUGGACUUUUUUCUCCUGCCAUGGGGGGGCGCUCUUUUGGGGAGUAAAAAUUCCUUCACAAAUGUGUUGAUGGCUGGACAUUGCAUCAUCCUAGAAAACUUGGAGGCCAGUGAGGACAAAAAUAAAAAGUUAUAAGACUUUUAAGAAUGUGGAUUUUGGGUUAUCUUUGGCGCCCCCUAGAACGUAAACCGUGGGGUGCAGCGUCAUGAUUUGUACAACUUUUAAUGGCCAUGGGGGGUAGAUUGGCCUGCGCAAAUGUGGUGCCGGUCGAACGAAAGCCUUCGGAGGAGUUAGCGAAAUUCCAAUGUGUGCGAAUCGGCAAAAAAUGCGAAAUAGCCCUUUAACCGUACAUUAUACAGAUACGCGCUUUUUGACUUUUUCGUAGAUCUAAUUGAGAUACACAUGAUUGUCAAUUUUUGUGUCAAUAUGACAAAGCGUUCAGGCGUGACACUCAACAAUGUGUAUUUUCAUGUAAGGGGACAAGAAAAAAUUGACUUUUUUCUCCUGCCAUGGGGGGGCGCUCUUUUGGGGAGUAAAAAUUCCUUCACAAAUGUGUUGAUGGCUGGACAUUGCAUCAUCCUAGAAAACUUGGAGGGCAGUGAGGACAAAAAUAAAAAGUUAUAAGACUUUUAAAUAUGUGGAUUUUAGUGUUAUCUUUGGCGCCCCCUAGAACCUAAACCUUGGGGUGCAGCGUCAUGAUUUUGAUAACUUUUAAUGGCCACGGGGUGUAGAUUGGCCUGAGCAAAUGUGGUGCCGGUGGAACGAAAGCCUUCGGAGGAGUUAGCGAAAUUCCAAUGUGUGCGGAUCGGCAAAAAAUGCGAAAUAACCCUUUAACCGUAAUUUUGACAGAUACGGCCGCACUGACUUUUUUGUAGAUCUUAUUGAGAUACAUAUGUGUGUCAAUUUUUGUGUCAAUAUGACAAAGCGUACAGGCGUGACAGUCAAUAGUGUGAAUUUCCACCUUAGGGGGCGCUAUGGAGCCAUUUUGCAUUUUAUUGUUUGGGCGACUUCAGAAUAUCGAAUUUUUCACCAGGCCCGGUCGUCCUGCCAAAUUUCAUGAGUUUUCGCCAGUGGGAAGUGGGCCAUUUUCCAGUUCAAAGGGGAGGAAAAAGAAGAAAGAAAGAAAGAACUAGGGUCCCGUUGGGGCACUGGCGGGCCCGAGCUGUGUCGCCCCCCCCCCCCCCCCAACGCGCUGCCUCCCCGUCCCAUUCGCGUCCUCUGGCCAUCGUCCUCUCUGGUAACGCCCAUCACUGCAAAGACCCUUUUCCUUCAUCGGCGUUUGCUGUUCUUCCUGCCAGUGCGUGUUGCUUUCACUUACACUUGCCACAGCCAGCCUCGUGAGUGCCUAGCCUAUUGGAUAUCACUGUCACCUACACAGGACAGUCAUUACCUUUCUAUUAAUACUUUGUUUUUUUAAUUUCACAUUAAUUUCCAUAUUGUAUAAACGACUGGAAAAAACUUGAGCCCCUGCCCCUGUAUAAUCAUGUGCACGUCCCUGUUCUAGCUCCAAGGUGAAUC
This is a non-coding RNA of Xyrichtys novacula (pearly razorfish), 4857 nucleotides long. The record is from the annotation of a GenBank genome assembly. Lineage: Eukaryota; Metazoa; Chordata; Actinopteri; Labriformes; Labridae.